Molecule: ribosomal RNA, 900 nt
Filed under: uncultured bacterium
Lineage: Bacteria
Description: bacterial SSU rRNA
Rfam family: Bacterial small subunit ribosomal RNA
Source: RNAcentral
GCUUGCUAGAUUGAUGGCGAGUGGCGAACGGGUGAGUAAUACAUCGGAACGUGCCCUGUAGUGGGGGAUAACUAGUCGAAAGAUUAGCUAAUACCGCAUACGACCUGAGGGUGAAAGUGGGGGACCGCAAGGCCUCAUGCUAUAGGAGCGGCCGAUGUCUGAUUAGCUAGUUGGUGGAGUAAAGGCCCACCAAGGCGACGAUCAGUAGCUGGUCUGAGAGGACGAUCAGCCACACUGGGACUGAGACACGGCCCAGACUCCUACGGGAGGCAGCAGUGGGGAAUUUUGGACAAUGGGCGAAAGCCUGAUCCAGCAAUGCCGCGUGUGUGAAGAAGGCCUUCGGGUUGUAAAGCACUUUUGUCCGGAAAGAAAUGGCUCUGGUUAAUACCUGGGGUCGAUGACGGUACCGGAAGAAUAAGGACCGGCUAACUACGUGCCAGCAGCCGCGGUAAUACGUAGGGUCCAAGCGUUAAUCGGAAUUACUGGGCGUAAAGCGUGCGCAGGCGGUUGUGCAAGACCGAUGUGAAAUCCCCGAGCUUAACUUGGGAAUUGCAUUGGUGACUGCACGGCUAGAGUGUGUCAGAGGGGGGUAGAAUUCCACGUGUAGCAGUGAAAUGCGUAGAGAUGUGGAGGAAUACCGAUGGCGAAGGCAGCCCCCUGGGAUAACACUGACGCUCAUGCACGAAAGCGUGGGGAGCAAACAGGAUUAGAUACCCUGGUAGUCCACGCCCUAAACGAUGUCAACUAGUUGUUGGGGAUUCAUUUCCUUAGUAACGUAGCUAACGCGUGAAGUUGACCGCCUGGGGAGUACGGUCGCAAGAUUAAAACUCAAAGGAAUUGACGGGGACCCGCACAAGCGGUGGAUGAUGUGGAUUAAUUCGAUGCAACGCGAAAAACCUU